This 481-nucleotide ribosomal RNA is filed under the name uncultured bacterium. RNAcentral's name for it is "bacterial SSU rRNA". It matches the Rfam family "Bacterial small subunit ribosomal RNA", at positions 28 to 507 of the family's 1533-position model. The record is from RNAcentral.
GACGAACGCUGGCGGCGUGCCUAACACAUGCAAGUCGAACGGGACUCAGCCCUUCGGGACUGAGUUUAGUGGCGAACGGGUGAGUAACGCGUGAGGAACCUGCCUUUCAGUGGGGGACAACAGUUGGAAACGACUGCUAAUACCGCAUAAAACUUUCGAGCGGCAUCGUUUGAAAGUCAAAGAUUUAUUGCUGAAAGAUGGCCUCGCGUCUGAUUAGCUGGUUGGUGAGGUAACGGCCCACCAAGGCGACGAUCAGUAGCCGGUCUGAGAGGAUGAACGGCCACAUUGGGACUGAGAUACGGACCAGACUCCUACGGGAGGCAGCAGUGAGGAAUAUUGGUCAAUGGUCGGAAGACUGAACCAGCCAAGCCGCGUGAAGGAAGAAGGUGCUCGGCAUCGUAAACUUCUUUUGUCAGGGAACAAAGGGCGGUACGUGUACCGCUGUGAGUGUACCUGAGAAAAAGCAUCGGCUAACUCCGUG